CAGACGGAGAAAGCGUUUAGCGCUACAUUAGCUCAAUUAAGGAAACAAGCUGUGGACACGGACAUGUCGUGAUGUGAUGAUGGCCAGCAUUUGAGAUGGUCACAGCAUCCUGGGUGCAUUCAUUUGAUAAGAGUUUUCAUUCUGACUGACAUGGGAAAGAUUUCUUGUAGACGACGAUCAAAAAGGAGACGAUCAAACUCCAUACAGAGAGAAAAUGACCAGCAAGGAGUCAUCUCCGAUAACGUGAAACAGGAGAGUGAGAUUUCUGAGCACAGCUUCUCUGAGCCGAGACACAAUGAAAAUGAAUCCGAUGUAUUUUCCAACUCACUGAGCCAGAACACUUCUGCUGUGGAUGGAAGUCAUGUUUUUUUUCCAGUUUUUUCCCAUAGUAACGUAGGACAAGUAACGAUCAACAGCACUUACGCAAUAAAUAACAAGUCACCUGAUACCAGGGAGAGAAAUCCAGAAUCUCAGGCUCAGGUAAAAACGAAAAUACUCAAUUAUAUACGUCAGUGAAUUACGUCAGUGAGAAUUUCUGCAGAGUGAUUUAUAGACUCUGUUUUUUGUUUUUGCCACAAAAAAACCCCCAGGAUGGAUCCUCUGACGUUGACGCCUCUGCAACAACUAUUUUAAGGACUCCUAAAAAAUCCAAGAAGUUCAGGAGAAGUCGACGUUCUGCUGCCAGACGAUCUCUCACCCACUUCCGCGGACCACGUGACAUCGUGGGUGAGAUUACUGGAGCUCACGUCACCUCCGAGUAUCACUGCAGUGAUUGCAGAUUCAAAAUUCCUUCCUGGAAACCUUUAUGCUUUAACGUCAAGUGUCCCGGGUGCAAGAUGAGCUGGAAGUGCGAUAAAAUCCAGUGUACUUGCAAAGCUAAAAUAACCCUGGAGCUGCCCAGUGGGCAGACGCAGAGGGUCACGCUGGACGAUUCGCUAAUGCGCUCCAUUGUUAGGUUUAAAACACAGGGCUACUGCAAGACGGAGAGAAUCGAGACGAAGAUUCUGAAGAUUGGGAGCGUGAGAGUGGUGUAUAACGAUGGAGUCUUGAGGAGCGUGAGCAAGAUUUCGUCCAGCUCCAUGUCUCUCCGUGAUAUUCCAGACGCCUUCCCUAGUUUCUGAUUAGGGAUUCUGAAAUCUGGACUCCAGUAUGGUGCUGAAGUCAGUGUUCCAGUUUACCUCAAAGGUGUUCAGUGCGGUUGAGGUCAGGGCUCUGUGCAGGACACUCGAGUUCUUCAACUCCAUCCUUACAGGGGCAUUAUCGUGCUGGAACAGCUUUGGGCCACAGAAAGGAAAGAGGAAGGGAAAUCACACAAACGCAUUCUAUACAACUGUCUGCUUCCAUGUUUGUGGCAGGAGUUUAGGGAAGGACCACAUAUUGGUGUGAUGGUCAGGUGUGACCAUUUUUGACCAUACAAUGUAUAUGUAAACUUUUUCACGUGCCAUAAUAGAAAUAUUUUAUAUGCCUCAUUCAGUAAAAAAGAUGGUGCGUCUGAAAGGAUUUGCGUCUGUUUAAUAGAAGGGAAGAAUAGACAAUAGAGAGUUGACACAAGACAUUCUUAUACAUUUGUAGUUAUUUUAUUAACAUUAUAGCAUUAUAUUAAUUAUAUUAUAAAUACCGUGUGCAGUCUCUUCUGUGUAAAAUGCUUAAACAUUUUGGACUCAAAAAGGCGUUUUAAAAAUGAGAAUUACAUGAAUUACAUUAAAUGACUGUGAAUCAUUUUCUUAUAAUUAACCGUUGCACUGUUCGAGUCUUUAACCAACAUGUUUAACAGGUUUAGCCUCCAAGUCAUCCACAAUAUAAUCCACAAUAUAAUCUGUUAUUCGCCAUUAAAGUCAUUAAAU
This is a long non-coding RNA of Ictalurus punctatus (channel catfish), 1844 nucleotides long. The record is from Ensembl. NCBI's taxonomy places the organism in Eukaryota, Metazoa, Chordata, Actinopteri, Siluriformes, Ictaluridae.